Meleagris gallopavo (turkey) is the source of this 3878-nucleotide non-coding RNA. NCBI's taxonomy places the organism in Eukaryota, Metazoa, Chordata, Aves, Galliformes, Phasianidae. The record is from RefSeq and is a predicted model, not a curated record.
UAUUCAAUGUGAAAUUUCAGUCUCCUGACUUCAUUUUAGUGGCAGCAUGACAGCAGUAAUAAUGCACAGGAUACUGACAAGUGAACAGGAAUGCAGACAGUGCUUCUUCAGAGUGGUAAAGGCGUUUUACACCAGCUCGGGGACCAGAUGAAAGUUUUGCUACCUACCUUCUUCAUAACGUGUGUUCAUGUCAGCCCGAAAAAUACAGCAUGCAAAAUGAAUGCCGCAUUUUCAUACGAUGGGCUGAGUCCGACAGAAUUCCAUAUUAUUACUGAACAGCCAAACUCAUCCAGAAGCAGAAGUGAGCCUUGAGCUUUUCCCAGUUUCAAUUUCUACCUUUCAAAUCUACUAAGCUUAUCACAGUACUUCACAGUAACACUAUCUACUUCCACCAGAGGGAUUUGCAGCUGACCUUUCUCCUACUUUCCAUUUUCGCUGAUGAAAAAGCAAAGAAAAACCCAACUCCAUUGUGUGAGAAAGAGAAGCAAAAAAAAAGGAUCUUUUGCAACAGCUUUUUUAUCUGUAAUUUGAUGUAUUUUCUUUUCGUGUAGUAAGAGAUGCUUUUAUUUUGAUAUAUAUAUUUGUAUGUUUAAUGAAAGUAAAACAAAAGUUUUCUUUCUUUUACAAAAGUAAAUUGCAGAUCUCCUGUGAGAUUUUCAGGGGAUCAGGUUCAGGAAUACAGCAACUCAACUCAGAUUUCACCUGUGCAUGUUUUGCCUGCUGAUUAGUAUUCACAGCGGGGAGAUCUCUGGACUGGUUUGGUUGUGGUUGUUGGUUGUUUUUUUUUUGCUGAUAUCACAUCUUUCAGUUGAGCAGAUUUCAUCUCCCCGAUUUUACACCCUAUUUACUCAUCUUUCCUACACAGCAAAUAUUUGAGUUUCUGCACGAAACUGUGAACCCAAUUCUCAAAAACCUACACCUGAGUGAGAUUACAUUAAGAGAGUUGAAGACUGAAAACACAAUUCUUUGGUCAGAAUUUCUCACAGCAAAAGUAACCAGUGUAGGUCAUUUAAAAAGCAAGAAGCAAAGAUAAAAUAAUUGCUGUUUUACUUUUCCGGAUUAUUUUUGUCUUUCAGAUUCGUUCAUCUAUCAGUGCAUUACUGUUUCCCAAAAGGCCGUUCAGCUGGAUACGACACCUUCUGAUUGCAGCAGUAAUUCUUGCUUUUAAUAACAUGCUUGUGAUUUUUGUUCCGACUAUUAAGGAUAUAUUUGGAUUUAUCGGUGCCUCUUCUGCCACCAUGCUGAUCUUCAUCCUCCCCUCUGCAUUCUACCUGCGGCUUGUUAAGAAGGAGCCUAUGAGGUCUCCUCAGAAGAUAGGGGCUCUAAUUUUUCUUAUAGUUGGCAUAAUCUUCAUGAUUGUGAGUAUGACUCUCAUUGUAAUGGACUGGAUUUACAAUCCCCCAAGUUCCCGACAUCACUAACCUGUGGAAAGAACCAAGUGCUUUUCAUACCAUAAUGUUUGUAUUAUGUGCUCUAAAGGACACCAACAUGGCACAGCUAUUCCUAGCUAGUAACUGCAAUAAGUUGAAGACAGUUUCUGGGUAGGAUACUAGAACCCAAUGGAGUCUAUGUCACAGGACAUUUAUUUAUGCAUUAGGAACCCAAGCUUAGCAUUUCUAGCCAGGCUGAAUAAAAUGUGUAAUGUGGGUGCUUUCUAUUUUCAAAACAAAUAUAAGAAUAACUGUGUAUGUAGUCCUUAACAGUCGUUUGGUCCCACCCUUUUUAACCUCUCCCAUUAUGUUCAUAACACAGUUCCUAGAGCACUGGAAAGGUAAUGGCCAGAAAACCAGCUAGUGCCUUGUUUUGCACAUGAAGCACAUAGGAGCAGCUGCCCAGCUCCUAGAGAAAAUGUAUGAUUUCUGUAGGGGAUCAGAAAAGCAACUUCUCCCCAUGGACUGGUCUAUCAGAAAGGUGACAGCUUUGGCAAGCCCAUGGACAAAGCCGAGCAUCAGACACAUUGCCCAUAUUUGUCACCCUCAAACACAUGAUGGCUGUUGUAUGGAAUAAAGCUCUCUCACACAGGAGCCCCUGUGCUGUGACUGAAGAACAUCUGACCACUCAUGUUUUGUUGUUAAAGAUGUCUCUGCUGGAACAUUAGGCACUUCUGGGGUGGGUUUUUUGGUUUUCUUAGCUUUUUUAAUUCUUGUCUGAGCUUGUAUCACUGAACAAGUUCCAUCCUCCAUAGAAGCUUGUCUUCCAUUCUCACGGGAAUUCAAGGAGGCCACACAGUGUGGGUGAGCACCCUAUGCAGUAUUGUUCAGCACUUGUCUGUUUGAUAAAUGUUCAGUGCAGGAAACUGUAAUUUGCUAUAUAUAUAAAUAUAUGUAUUUAUGUACAUAAUCCUUUGUUUUCUUCUAGUUAUAAAAAUAUUACGCUCUGGUACAUGAUUUCUGAUUUAUUUUUUUAAUUUUAUUUUAUAUGUCACUCUGUUUUCACAGCCACACACUUAGUAUUGUUUUGAAGAAAAUAUUUUGGAUUACUGGGUUUGCUAAAGGCUCGUUUUAUUCAGUAGCAUUUGAAAUAUACUUGCCACAAACCCUGGCCGUUACCUGUGUAAAAACAAAUUCAGACAUUUACUACUUAUGUUACAAUAAGUUUUCCUCUUGAGAAUUUUUAAUAUGUGCAUCAAAGUUCUGCAGUACCACUAUAAACCUAGAAUUUGGCUAAGUUGCUCUGUGGCUUUAUCACAGCUCAGCUAUGCAUAUGCCAGCAUUCAAAAGCAUGCAUAAUUAAGCUAUGCAAAGGAAAAGAUAUUACUGAUAAUCUCAAGAGUAUUGUGCUACGCAGCUGUUCAAGAGAAAAGAAUGUGAUGUUCAUGUUAUAAGGAUGCUUAAUUAGCAUCUAGUAGCCUCUAGACUGUAUUUUAUCAGAUCUGUGGGGAACUCUACACAUGCUUUCUGUACUAUUUUUCUCAAAGGAAAAGCAGUCAGAGAGGUGACAGGAGCUCAGUAGAAGACGGAAUGAGUGGGAAGGUGCAAUUGUUGGGUUUAACGUGUUUAGGAAAAUCCAGUCUCCUGUAAUUGGUGUUUCCAUUUUCCAACUUAAAAAUCUGCAUGCACGCAUUUGAUCUCUGAAAGCCAACAAAAGCUGCCUCUGUCCACUCUUCAGCUUCACAUAAAAUUGUCUCUCUGUGUGCGUCUCUCUGUGUGCAUGCCUGCUAAGUGUGGGUAGACAUACCAGUUGGCUGGAAAAGUGUAUCAGUUAUAUAUUCCAUGUCAACUGCUGUCCUUCUGAGCACUAUUUUACACUCACUUGAGUACUGCAUCAUUAAUACUCUAGGCCAUACCCCUUGUGAAUGCUGGCUGGCUUUGUUUUUUUUCUUUAAAGUUUCCCAUAUUUUGUUCAAUUUGAAGCAGACAAAUACCAAUAAUGUUCUGUUAGUACUGAAGAGCUUUGAUGUGAACUAAAGUUAAUAGUAGUAUGCCCAAACACCUCUCUUCUUGUUACAUUAGUGAGUUGCAUGUACGGAAGAACUGAAAUAUAACUGAGUUUCUGUUUCAGAGCAGUUACAUCUAUUGUCUGCAGCUGCAUAUGGAAACUUAGAAAUUCAUGUCUCACAUAAAAUGUAGAUGACCUCAAGAGAAGUAACCGAAAAACUAUGGAACAAUGGCUCUAGUCACUGGCUUUUAAUGACACAAAAAUAUUGGUGUCCAGCAUAAAGGUGGAAAGUCUGUAACAUGUCAGAUAUUCUAGUUAAUAAGCAUUGCUCACAGCAAUAUGCAGCUGUUAGUGGAAGUAAGGCUAGCAUUGCAAACUAACUUCUUAGCACUGCUGGAAAUGGAGGAUGUUGCAUUUUCUUGUUUGUCCUGUCAUGUUGACAAUGAGGAUUUUUAUUACAAAACUAUCCACUGAUGUACAAUAAAUGAAUUUUUCAAGGA